AGAUACUUUUGAUAUAUACUUUAUUUAACAAGUUAUUCACUGCCAGUUUUAGUACCUGCUAUUAAUUAUUCAUUCAGCAAGAUUCAUUAAGUUCUGACUGUAUUUCAGGUAACUUGUAAAACACUGUCACAAGUGCUGACAGGAGAAAGUGGGAAGGCAUGGGAAAUAUGUUUAGAUUUUUUUAGAGAAUUAAAGUUCCGGUUGGAACAGUAUCUCUAGUAGCGUGUUUUUCCUUAAGUUUAAAAAUUUACUGUUGCUAACUUAUCAACAUCUGGUACUUUAUCAGGCAAUUUAGAAAGAACUUUACUUUGUACGUUAUUGUCACAGUUUACACACGUAGCAGUUUUAAAGAAUUGUUCCUCACUCUUCCGCCUCCUCUUCCUUUGCUGAACAAUUUAGUACAGAACCAGUUAGGUGGGAUUGAUCGAGGGAGUCAUCCCUGCAAGGGGGGUAGGUGGGAGGGAGGCCUGUCUGCCUGGCCAGAAUCAGAAGGUACCUGCAUGGGGGAUGGGGCAAUCACGGGCAAGGCAGAGGGCUUUGACGGAGUGAGUAAAUACGUUGAGGAUAACGGGGCCAGGUUUCUAACAAUCGGAAAGGGGAGUUACAAAUAUGGAAAAGUAGAAAACUAGAAUGAACGCCGUGGCACUGGAUUGAUAUGGGAUGUAUCUGUCUGUACUGCUGGUUUUGAAUAUAUAGACAUAGAAAUAAAUAGAAAUGUAUAUGAGAGAGUGAACGAAUUUUCUUUUUUUGAGGGGAGGGAUGUGUGUGAGGGAGGGGCAUAGAGAGGAGAGAGAGAAUCCCAAGCAGGCUCCAUGCUGUCAGCACAGAACCCGACCUGGGACUUGAGCUCACAAACUGUGAGAUUGUGACCAGAGACAAAAGUAAGAAUUGGACGCUUAACUGACUGAGCCACCCAGGCGCCCCUGAAUUAUUAUUAUUUCUUUAAUAUGUUUUUUGAGAGAUGGGAGAGGGGCCUAUAGAGCGAGAGAGAGAGAGAAUUCAUGCUGAGCAUGGAGCCGGAUGAGGGGCUUGAUCCCAGGACCAUGAGAUCAUGACCUGAGCCAAAAUCAAGAGUCAGAUGCUUAACUGACUGAGCCACUCAGCACCCCAAGAGUGAAUGGAUUAUAGCUCUUUCCUAGCUUUGCCUGCUCAUAGGACCUGGGAGCAACAGCACCCUGGUAGCAAUGAAUGUACCCAGUGCCCAUUUGUUUUCUAAAUAUCACAUUCUGCUCAAAGUAAUUGGAUCCUUGCAGAAAUGGCCAGUUUCAGGAUGGAGGCAGGGAAAGUACAAGGCGAGCCUGGAACGUUAUGUAGCCAGAAAGAAGGAAUUAUUUAAAGAAAAAGUAUCAAAAAGAUAUAAAUGUCAGCUUAAAAGAGCUCCUUCUUUCCAUAUUGGAGACACUUUGAGUAUCAAAAUAAAAAAUGAUAGUAAUGGGUCAUAACCCAUUGAGUAAAAUAGAAAUCUAUAAAUUCAUGCUGUAAUCAAUAAACCGUUUCAUGAGAAGGGAUAUUCACAUAGUCACAAAGCACCUCCCCACAAAAUGCUUACUAAUUAUAGAGGAGAAAAAGAUUAAUUUUACACUGAAGAAGUCUGGCAAACACCACACUAGUAUCAAAUGAUUAAAGUCAAUGAGUGGAGGGACCAAUCACUGAUGGGGCGCAGGGAAAAAACAGUCUCACUUCUCUGGUAUUCCUGCCAAAGAAGUGGAACCUGCAUCUAAUCAGUGGAGUCAGACAAAGCUAAAUUAAGGGAGUGUGUAACAAGAUGGCCUAUAAUCUUCCCAAGGGUCAAGGUCAUGAAAGUUAUAGAAAGACCAGAAGAUUGUUCCAGUCUGGGAGAGACUAGAGACAUGACAAGUAAAGGCAUGAAUCUGGACUGAUCCUUUUGCCGUUAAGGACAUUACUGGGGACAGCUGGCAAAAUUGAAUGGGGUCUGAGGAUUGGGUGGUGGUAACAUAUAAAUGUAAUUUUCGUACAGUUGUAUUGUGAUUAUAUGGGAGAAUUUCCUUGUUUGUAGGAAACAUGAUCAUGGUAACUUACUCUCAAAUUGUUCAGGAAAGGAAGAGGUCUUAUAUAAUUAAUUUAUCUGUGAUUUAUUAGGUAGAAAUCUGUUAAUCAUUGUUUCUGCUCUUUACCAAAAAAGUAACAGUCACAAUUCUCUCACCCUUUACUCUUGCCUAACCUACCUACCCUGCCAAUCCUCAAUCUUAAAUCAAUACAACUGACUCUUCUUUGCUCCCACUGUUAAAGAAAACAAAAAUCACUGUUGAUUGAUUCCGUUACAGAAUAAUGGACUUCAACGUUAAUGAUGCUUUCAUUUCAUUUGCUCAUCAAUAGUUAUUACUUCUCCCACUCUCCUCCAGCAUUCCAAACCUUUGCCUGCUUCCUUGUCUCCUUGUGUUUGACCCCACUCUUACUUAACUCCGUGGCCUCCUACUCACUAGAAGACAGACACUUUUAAGCUUCCUUUCCUCCUCCCCAGAGCAGCCUCAGAUAUAUAACCAUCCAUAUCUCUUUGUCAGGUUAUUCAUAAAAAUAAGUGAUCCUAAUUUCUUCCAGUGCUAAUCUUGAUCUUCUAUAGCCGCCCCUGAGACUUUGCACCAUGAGUGUUCCUCUCUUUUAUUUUGUUCACUGUCCCUUUUCUCUCCGUCUGUAAAGCAGAGAGGUUAACUGGCAGAACUGAGACUUGAAAUCAGGCUUGUCUGAUUCUAACACCCACUAUGUGGGGUUCCCUCAGAAAUCUUACUUGCCUAAUCUACUGGUCUCUUUUCAAUUUUCAUCAUACUAUGUGCUUUUUUUUUUUUUUAAGACUUUAUUUUUAAGUAAUUUCUACACCCAGCAUGGGGCUCAAACUCAUGACCCUGAGAUCAAGAGUCACCAGCCAGGUGCCCCUCUCAUCCUACUAAAUAUUCAUUUUCCCCUCCUCCCUGGAAUUUUUUUUCUUUUGCUUCAAGGUACAGCUCUUUCCUGAUUUUUCUACUCGUCUGAUCGUUUUUCCCCGUGUUUUGCUGACUCUUCUGCCAGUGCCUACCCCUUAAUUGUGCUGCUCAGGCAUCUGUCCUUGGGCUGCUCCCUUCCAUGUUCCCCACAUUCUCAUUUGUAAUCUCAUCAGCCGCAAGCCUAAGCUUUCAGCUGCUGUGCAAAUACUGCUGACCCAGAUCUGCUUCUACUACCUGCUGGAUGUCUUCUAUAUUAGGCUGUCACGUGCAGGAGCCACGAGCUGCGUCGAGCUCUGGAGCCCUUGAGAGUUGGCUACUCCGGGGGCACCUGGGUGGCUCGGUCAGUUAAGCGUCCGACUCUUGAUUUAGGCUCAAUUCACCAUCUCACAGUUCGUGAGAUCGAGCCCUGUGUCAGGCUCUGCGCGGACAUCAGGGAGCCUGCUUGUAAUUCUCUCUCCCCCUCUCUUUCUCUGCCCCUCACCCCUGUCUCUCUCUC
Neofelis nebulosa (Clouded leopard) is the source of this 3435-nucleotide long non-coding RNA. RefSeq lists it as uncharacterized. NCBI's taxonomy places the organism in Eukaryota, Metazoa, Chordata, Mammalia, Carnivora, Felidae. The record is from RefSeq and is a predicted model, not a curated record. The transcript has 2 exons.